This 861-nucleotide ribosomal RNA is filed under the name uncultured bacterium. RNAcentral describes it as "bacterial SSU rRNA". It matches the Rfam family "Bacterial small subunit ribosomal RNA", at positions 61 to 899 of the family's 1533-position model. The record is from RNAcentral.
GUUGAGCGCUGAAGGUUGGUACUUGUACCGACUGGAUGAGCAGCGAACGGGCGAUUAACGCGUGGGGAAUCUGCCUUUGAGCGGGGGACAACAUUUCGAAACGAAUGCUAAUACCGCAUAACAACUUUAAACACAAGUUUUAAGUUUGAAAGAUGCAAUUGCAUCACUCAAAAAUGAUCCCGCGUUGUAUUAGCUAGUUGGUGAGGUAAAGGCUCACACCAAGGCGAUGAUACAUAGCCGACCUGAGAGGGUGAUCGGCCACAUUGGGACUGAGACACGGCCCAAACUCCUACGGGAGGCAGCAGUAGGGAAUCUUCGGCAAUGGACGAAAGUCUGACCGAGCAACGCCGCGUGAGUGAAGAAGGUUUUCGGAUCGUAAAACUCUGUUGGUAGAGAAGAACGUUGGUGAGAGUGGAAAGCUCAUCAAGUGACGGUGACUACCCAGAAAGGGACGGCUAACUACGUGCCAGCAGCCGCGGUAAUACGUAGGUCCCGAGCGUUGUCCGGAUUUAUUGGGCGUAAAGCGAGCGCAGGUGGUUUAUUAAGUCUGGUGUAAAAGGCAGUGGCUCAACCAUUGUAUGCAUUGGAAACUGGUAGACUUGAGUGCAGGAGAAGAGAGUGGAAUUCCAUGUGUAGCGGUGAAAUGCGUAGAUAUAUGGAGGAACACCCGUGGCGAAAGCGGCUCUCUGGGCUGUAACUGACACUGAGGCUCGAAAGCGUGGGGAGCAAAAAAGAUUAAAUAACCUGGUAAUCCACGCCGUAACAACCAAGAGAGCUUAAUGUAAGGAGCUAUAUAUUCUCUGUAAUCCCAACUUACACAAUAAACACUCCCCCUGGGGGAGGACAACGCCAGGGUGAAAA